RNAcentral lists this long non-coding RNA (225 nucleotides) under Elaeis guineensis (African oil palm). Its description in RNAcentral is "long non-coding RNA (EGUI_LNC025173)". Lineage: Eukaryota; Viridiplantae; Streptophyta; Magnoliopsida; Arecales; Arecaceae. The record is from RNAcentral.
UUCGGUCGGCCAUCCACAGUCAAAUGAUGAAGUGAAAGUAACCAACCGAACAAUCUUAUACGGACUGAAGAUCCGACUGAAUGAAGCUAAAGGCCUCUAGGUAGAAGAGCUACAUCCGAUCUUAUGGGUGUAUCGGAAACUCUCCAUAUACCGAUAUAGGAAUCCCCCUUCAAUUUAGCUUAUAGAAUAGAAACAAUGAUACCACUCGAGAUCGGAUUACGCUCG